This 253-nucleotide ribosomal RNA is filed under the name uncultured bacterium. Its description in RNAcentral is "partial 16S ribosomal RNA". It matches the Rfam family "Bacterial small subunit ribosomal RNA", at positions 524 to 776 of the family's 1533-position model. The record is from RNAcentral.
GACGGAGGAUGCAAGUGUUAUCCGGAAUCACUGGGCGUAAAGCGUCUGUAGGUGGUUUAAUAAGUCAACUGUUAAAUCUUGAGGCUCAACCUCAAAAUCGCAGUCGAAACUAUUAGGCUAGAGUAUAGUAGGGGUAAAGGGAAUUUCCAGUGGAGCGGUGAAAUGCGUAGAGAUCCGGAAGAACAUCGGUGGCGAAGGCGCUCUGCUGGACCAUAACUGACACUCAGGGACGAAAGCUAGGGGAGCGAAUGGG